This 76-nucleotide transfer RNA is filed under the name Clostridiales bacterium. RNAcentral's name for it is "tRNA-Thr". It matches the Rfam family "tRNA". From Rfam's summary of the family: Transfer RNA (tRNA) molecules are approximately 80 nucleotides in length. Lineage: Bacteria; Bacillati; Bacillota; Clostridia; Eubacteriales. RNAcentral also lists the same sequence under 5 other names. The record is from RNAcentral.
GCUGGUAUAGCUCAAUUGGCAGAGCAGCUGAUUUGUAAUCAGCAGGUUGUAGGUUCAAGUCCUAUUACCAGCUCCA